UAACGGCCCACCUAGUCUUCGAUGGAUAGGGGUUCUGAGAGGAAGGUCCCCCACAUUGGAACUGAGACACGGUCUAAACUCCUACGGGAGGCAGCAGUGAGGAAUAUUGGUCAAUGGGCGAGAGCCUGAACCAGCCAAGUAGCGUGAAGGAUGACUGCCCUAUGGGUUGUAAACUUCUUUUAUAAAGGAAUAAAGUCGGGUAUGUAUACCCGUUUGCAUGUACUUUAUGAAUAAGGAUCGGCUAACUCCGUGCCUGCAGCCGCGGUAAUACGGAGGAUCCGAGCGUUAUCCGGAUUUAUUGGGUUUAAAGGGAGCGUAGAUGGAUGUUUAAGUCAGUUGUGAAAGUUUGCGGCUCAACCGUAAAAUUGCAGUUGAUACUGGAUAUCUUGAGUGCAGUUGAGGCAGGCGGAAUUCGUGGUGUAGCGGUGAAAUGCUUAGAUAUCACGAAGAACUCCGAUUGCGAAGGCAGCCUGCUAAGCUGCAACUGACAUUGAGGCUCGAAAGUGUGGGUAUCAAACAGGAUUAGAUACCCUGGUAGUCCACACGGUAAACGAUGAAUACUCGCUGUUUGCGAUAUACUGCAAGCGGCCAAGCGAAAGCGUUAAGUAUUCCACCUGGGG
RNAcentral lists this ribosomal RNA (620 nucleotides) under uncultured bacterium. RNAcentral describes it as "bacterial SSU rRNA". It matches the Rfam family "Bacterial small subunit ribosomal RNA", at positions 258 to 878 of the family's 1533-position model. The record is from RNAcentral.